This 253-nucleotide ribosomal RNA is filed under the name uncultured bacterium. RNAcentral describes it as "partial 16S ribosomal RNA". It matches the Rfam family "Bacterial small subunit ribosomal RNA", at positions 524 to 776 of the family's 1533-position model. The record is from RNAcentral.
CACGUAGGGCGCAAGCGUUGUCCGGAAUUAUUGGGCGUAAAGAGCUCGUAGGCGGUCUGUUGCGUCCGCUGUGAAAACUCGGGGCUUAACCCCGAGCCUGCAGUGGAUACGGGCAGACUAGAGGUAGGUAGGGGAGAAUGGAAUUCCCGGUGUAGCGGUGAAAUGCGCAGAUAUCGGGAGGAACACCGGUGGCGAAAGCGGCGCACUGGACCACAACUGACGCUGAGGCGCGAAAGCUAGGGGAGCAAACAGG